Molecule: ribosomal RNA, 253 nt
Filed under: uncultured bacterium
Lineage: Bacteria
Description: partial 16S ribosomal RNA
Rfam family: Bacterial small subunit ribosomal RNA
Source: RNAcentral
GACAGAGGGUGCAAACGUUGUUCGGAAUUACUGGGCGUAAAGCGCAUGUAGGCGGCUCUGUAAGUCGGAUGUGAAAGCCCUCGGCUUAACCGGGGAAGUGCAUUCGAUACUGCAGAGCUAGAGUAUCGGAGAGGGUCGUGGAAUUCCUGGUGUAGAGGUGAAAUUCGUAGAUAUCAGGAGGAACACCGGCGGCGAAGGCGGCGACCUGGACGAAUACUGACGCUCAGAUGCGAAAGCGUGGGUAGCAAACAGG